AUCCUAAACUUGCAACUCUUGAAGAAAUCCCAGUACUACUCCAUCCAAUCCGACUACCUUAUUCCAGUAGUACACUUUGCAUACAAGGAUCAUCAUGAGAAUCUCAUUAGGCGACUUAUUAGACAAAAGGCUGAAGGCGAGUCCAUAGAGCUGUGUGGAGAUGCCAGGUCUGACUCACCAGGCUACAGCUGCAAGUAUUCCACCUAUUCGUUUCAGCUUCUAUCCAGUAAUGAGAUCAUUCACUUUCAACUACUACAGGUAACGGAAGCUAGCAGUUCAGUUGCCAUGGAGUCCCAAGGCUGUAGGAGGGGCCUCAACCAUCUCAUUUUCAAUGAAGGAGUAGAUAUAGACCUCAUCACUACAGACCGGGCCACAUCAGUUCGGAAAUGAGGGAGGAAUGAGGGAGGAAUUCCAGAAUGUUCACCAUGAAUUUGAUCCUUGGCAUGUAUCAAAAGGCAUAAAGAAAAAACUGGUAGCACUCGCCAACAAAAAGGAAAAUCAGGUCCUGCAGGGCUGGAUUCGGGCGAUCCUCAAUCACUUUUGGUUCUCAUGCUCAUCUUGUGGUGAGAGUGCUGAGGUAAUAACCCCAAUGCAUAAAGAAUGUAUAAAGAUUGCACUGAAAUCCAGUCAGAAGAUUAUCAAAUAGUCUUGAAAUGUAAUAUAUUCUGUAGGAACUGAAGCGACGGUGGACCUCAGUCCUCCACCACAUCUGUGGGGAGCACACAUGGGAGCAAGAUGGAAGAAAGUGGGCAUGCCCUCACCCUGCUCUCAACCCAGAUCAGCAAAGGACAAAGCGAUGGCUCCAGCCAGAGUCUCAUGUGUUCAAGUCUUUACGGAAUAUUGUUGAAGAUAAAAGACUGCUGAAAGACCUUGAGCAGAUGACUCGCUUCAAACAUACAGGAUCUUUGGAGGUGUACCACAGCGUUAUGCUAAAAUAUCUGCCGAAACGACUGCAUUUUCGGUACGACACCAUGGUAGCCCGAACACAGCUAGCCAUCCUGGACAACAAUUACAAUGUCGGCCGACAGCAGACAGAGACUUCAGAAGGUAUUGAGAUUUCAU
Gadus chalcogrammus (walleye pollock) is the source of this 1062-nucleotide long non-coding RNA. RefSeq lists it as uncharacterized. The record is from RefSeq and is a predicted model, not a curated record. The transcript is spliced from 5 exons. Lineage: Eukaryota; Metazoa; Chordata; Actinopteri; Gadiformes; Gadidae.